RNAcentral lists this ribosomal RNA (4202 nucleotides) under Triticum aestivum (bread wheat). RNAcentral describes it as "partial small subunit ribosomal RNA". The record is from RNAcentral. Lineage: Eukaryota; Viridiplantae; Streptophyta; Magnoliopsida; Poales; Poaceae.
GAUUUUAUGGUCUGAUGCUUUACGUCUGCUUUUGUUUUAGUACUCCAAAGGAAGGAAGGGCGCCAGCAGUGUCAUCGGCCACUCCACUUCCUUGGUAUCACCGUGCUUCAAGCUCCGCAACGAGAGUCGACACCGCAGAUGCAAAGUACUCGUUGUGAGAUAUAAUAGUACUGUAUUGACCAAAGAUUCCCCCAGACGUAAAGCUACAUCUCUUCCCGUUAGCUCGCCCACGAAAUGACCAAAACUUAAUUUUAAGUACUACCCACGCUAAAGAUCGCGCACCCCUUCUAAUCACCUAAAUUAGUAACCAGGGGCACACGUAGAAGAGGUACUUUAGCGUAUUUAGUAUUAUGUAAAAAAAUAGAAAAGAUUUUUGUUUUAACGUUUAUUCUCAUAGACGAGUAUGUCAAAAAAAAAGAAAAGUAUCGACGUUAUGAUCAAAAGCCAAUAACCCCCGCUGUCCCAGAACACGUUGUGUCUUCCUCUAUUAUUAAGCACUACCUUUCGCUGUUUUCGGGGGGUAUACGUUUACGAGAUCGGUCAGUCCGUUCCACCGCGUCGCGUGGUUUGGCCGCGGUCGGUCGGUGUAUUUGUUUGGGGUGUGUGUCUGGUCUGCCCCCUUCCCUUUGACUCUCGUUCGCCUCCGGCGAAGAGGCUAACUAAAGCAAGGUAGUAGUAGUAGAGUGUGUCGGUUUUCUGGCGCUGCGCUCGGGGACGGGGAGAGGAGCGAGCGAGGGCAGGGGGAGCGCUAAACUAAGCAGAGGGGUGGAGGGCAAGGCGACGGGGUACGGCGGGCGGGCGGGGGACGCGCGGCUGAGGAGAACUAGGGCAGGGGCCCCUGGUGCUGCGGCGGCGGUACCGGCAGCUAAGGCUGUCUCCCCUCCCCCUAAACCUCUAACCCAACCGCAGCGGCCCCAGCCUCCCUCCGCAAAGCGGGCAGCGGGGUCCGGCGGCCCGCGAGCUCAGGACGGAGAGGCCCUUCGCGGAGCUGGUCAGCGGCAGCGGCAGCGCCCGCCAGUCCGCGGGGCGCGAUCAGUACAGGUCGAGGCCCUUCGCGGAGCUGGUCAGCGGGAGCGGGAGCGCGGGCCACGACCGGUACAGGGCGAGGUCGUUGGCGGACCUGGUCGGCGGGCCGGCGGGCCACGACCGGUACAGGGCGAGGUCGUUGGCGGAGCUGGUGAGCGGCCGCAGCAGGAGCAGGGGCUGCGGCCGGUUCCCCGGCCGCGAGCAGUACAGGCCGAGGUCGUUCGCCGACCUCGUCAGCGAGCGCAGGGGCAGCGGCAGCGGGUUCCGGCCGCGGCGCCGCGGCGGGCACGACCACGAGAGGUUGAGGCCGUUCGCCUACCUGGUCCGCCCCGCCUUCUUCAUGCAAUUCGUCCACUGCCCGGCUGUGUUGCUGUGCCUCGAGGUGGAGCGGCGCGUCGCGCCCCUGGAGCUGCGGCACGCGGUCUAGUAGCGGCUUUAGCUGCGAGUCUACUGGCCGUGGCCGCUCCUCAAGCUGUCGCUCCACCGCCUCUAAGCGCGGCGGCACGAGUUGCUCGGGUUGCUCCAGCCCCUCUGGCGCGACGAGUAGCGGCGACUCUUUCCCAAGUAGCUGCAGCAGCAGCUCGACGAGUUCGUGAGACUGUUCCUCUCGGAACGCUCCUUCUUGUUUAGUCCUAAGCUACGAGACGUGCAGCGACGUUUCCUUCCGGUGGCUCUAUAACACUUCCAUGAGGACCUGGUACUAGGUAGGGAACCCUUCUGCAAACCGGUUAGUUUACACUGAGGAGACUAUUGACGCCGCUAAUCUCCGGUGGAGCUCCAUCACUUGGAAGACGACCUCGCUCAAAGACCCAACCAACUUGAUAGUUUCCGCUUGCCUUUCUUACGUAACGUAAAGCGACGGGCAGUCCCCGUACAACUUUAUCAAUUCAGGAACGAUCAGUCACUUCGAGUCGAACGAGCCUUCUGACUAUUCUUUCCUGUCUGGCGAAACGUGUACCGCCAAUUUCCUUGUUCGCGACGCCAACAAUCUCGUGAGCACUUACGACUAGGCCGGUAUCAAUACGAUGGACUGUUUUUACCGUUGAAUCGAAACGUACAACGGUGGUCCUUCUUUUCUAGUCUCUAACACUUACUCGAAGACGAAGAAGGCCUGUACUUGCACUUACGCGACUGAUCCCUAGCGUUCUGACGUAAACUGUAUCGUCUCCCAGAAGGCGAUAGUCUUCUCAGACGUCUAUAUUUCCUAACAAAUAGGGCACGACCACGUCACUCUCGUUUACUAGACUUAGUCGGAGCCCUACUCGACUCUUUUUGUCACUGACUCUAGUUCUUCCUGCAUGUGUGAGUUGAACUCGUUCGGUCUUUUUGGUUGUUUUUACACGUACCGUAUCGUUUCCUUGACUCCUUCGAGGUGUCCCUUCCGUAGUUGUUACGUUGUUUGAGACAGUGUCAACACCGACACGAGAAGCGGUGUCAACGUAAACGACGCUAUAAGUGCCACGGUCCUCCGUUGCUGCUGGUACCACAGCGUUAUCAACACGUACGCCACAGGAAGUUCCAGAAGAAGUAGAAGUUGCGGUAGCGGAACAAGUGUAGUAAUCGUCAUCACCACCACGUCUAUUGUGAACAAUCCCCGCUCUGCUUUCGUCUCUCCGCUCAACACCUCCACUAGUUGUUCAACUACACCGACCGAAGACAUACGUGGUGCCACCGUAAGUAUAGGAGGAGAAUGUAUCACCACCCAGCCGUGAAGUUCACCCGCCGCUACGACCACUGGGAGUAGCCGCCCCACUAGUACCGGUCACACGAGCCAUGCUACUGUAUGAUACACCACUUCAGGUUCGCGUGCGCUAGCUAAUCCUUCUUCCACUUCAGUUGUUCCGCCUCGCCGAGUUUGAGUACCUUGGUGUUGAGCCUCAGUCUAAGGCUCUAUCUGGCCUAUAUGCGGUAUACUCCCACUAGAGACCAGAAGAUACCUAGGAGUCAGAAAAGCCGCCGCGGUGUGCUGACCUAGCAGUCAGAAAAACCGCCGCGGUGUGCUGUGCCUACAUUUUUCUUUCCCUAACCGCGAGUCUCAUUUGUCGAAGCUGGGAGGUCCACGAUACCCAAAAUGGCAUAUGUAAGGUUAUUCGACCACAGGGAUCUAGCCGUCCUCGGUCAUCCGCUGCCAGCACAACAUAUGUAGAAGAUGUCUAUAUCUAACAGUAGUAGUCUUAUACGUACGUCGGACACGACACGAGGGAUACGUACCGACCGGAAGUAUUUUAAAGAGAGUCGGAAGAAAAAAGAUGGAAAACAAUUAUAUGACACCAUCGUCUUACCAGCCAUACACAUGGAACAUAAAGUAGACUAUCGACUCUUCCAAGAUCUUCGAAGAUCACUUCGGACCGCUUACGAGGAACAAGGAGAGAAAAACCCGUGCACUCUUGACAUUCUAAAAAGGUACUAAAGAAGGUGUCCUGUCCUGUUUGGACCUCGCCAUCACUGCUGUCAUAUUGUGCUUGUUCAGCGGACGUUGUCUCUGCACCCCAUCCUUUCGAACUGGACCGCUCAGCACGCACUCUCACUUUGGCGUACGAACCCCCGGCCACCCACCUCCUCUUUGCAGUGCGUUAUAAUCCACCAAAAGGACGCUCGUCUAUUGGCACCGCGGAGUUGAGUAAACUGAACACUAGACCCCAGCGUCAGCAGACGAGUCAAGUGAGGGACGGUGGUGUACUAAUUGAAACUAGUCGAGCCGUUCAACUUCCCAGUGAAUUCAACGACGUAACUUUCAACUUUGAGGAAGUCACCGACGGUGUGCGGCAUGCAAAGUCUUUCCAGGUCUUCUUCUUUCGGGCGUACCUGGUUUCGUCGCUGUUUUCUCUCCUCCUAAACCUCCGAUUUCUCUCCUCCGGAAACGAAAUGUGAACAACACCAGACCAGAAAGAAAAGAAAUGAAGCGCGAAUUCAAGUUCCCCCGCCUACCCUCGAGUUCCUCCUCCUCCUCCUCCGACCAUGCCACCACGCGGUGGUGGUUAGGUCGACUUCUAAAGUGAAACAAACCCCGAAAUGCGUAUAUGCCUAGAACGUUUCUAGUGUAUAUUUUCCCAUAUCCGACGCAGAACCUCUCAUAUUUUGGGAAGGCGAGGGAAAAGAAUCAAGUACCUUAUCAACCAGAGGGCCGGAGGUGUAAAGUUCUACGGGAAUGUUUUAGAUCGAGACGAUUUAAAAUG